AGAGUUUGAUCAUGGCUCAGAAUCAACGCUGGCGGCGUGCCUAACACAUGCAAGUCGAACGCGAAAAUCCCGCAAGGGAUGAGUAGAGUGGCAAACGGGUGAGUAACGCGUGGGUGACCUGCCUUUCGAGCGGGGGAUAACGUUCCGAAAGGGACGCUAAUACCGCAUAACAUCCUGCCUUUGAACAGGCGGAGAUCAAAGCUGGGGAUCGCAAGACCUAGCACUCGAAGAGGGGCCCGCGUCCGAUUAGCUAGUUGGUGAGGUAACGGCUCACCAAGGCAACGAUCGGUAGCCGGCCUGAGAGGGCGGACGGCCACACUGGGACUGAGACACGGCCCAGACUCCUACGGGAGGCAGCAGUGGGGAAUUGUUCGCAAUGGGCGCAAGCCUGACGACGCAACGCCGCGUGGAGGAUGAAGAUUUUCGGAUCGUAAACUCCUGUCGAAUGGGACGAACGGGUCGCGCGUGAAUACCGCGCGGCCGUGACGGUACCGUUAAAGGAAACCCCGGCUAACUCCGUGCCAGCAGCCGCGGUAAUACGGGGGGGGUAAGCGUUGUUCGGAAUUACUGGGCGUAAAGGGCUCGUAGGCGGCCAACUAAGUCAGACGUGAAAUCCCUCAGCUUAACUGGGGAACUGCGUCUGAUACUGGAUGGCUUGGAUUUGGGAGAGGGAUGCGGAAUUCCAGGUGUAGCGGUGAAAUGCGUAGAUAUCUGGAGGAACACCGGUGGCGAAGGCGGCAUCCUGGACCAACAUUGACGCUGAGGAGCGAAAGCCAGGGGAGCAAACGGGAUUAGAUACCCCGGUAGUCCUGGCCCUAAACGAUGAAUGCUUGGUGUGGCGGGUAUCGAUCCCUGCCGUGCCGAAGCUAACGCAUUAAGCAUUCCGCCUGGGGAGUACGGUCGCAAGGCUGAAACUUAAAGGAAUUGACGG
RNAcentral lists this ribosomal RNA (931 nucleotides) under uncultured bacterium. RNAcentral describes it as "bacterial SSU rRNA". It matches the Rfam family "Bacterial small subunit ribosomal RNA", at positions 8 to 916 of the family's 1533-position model. The record is from RNAcentral.